UUCGUAGGUGAACUGCGGAAGGAUCAUUA
This 29-nucleotide ribosomal RNA is filed under the name Phytophthora capsici. Its description in RNAcentral is "partial 18S ribosomal RNA". Lineage: Eukaryota; Oomycota; Peronosporomycetes; Peronosporales; Peronosporaceae. The record is from RNAcentral.